GAUGAACGCUGGCGGCGUGCCUAACACAUGCAAGUCGAGCGAAGCGCCUUACUUGAUUUCUUCGGGAUGAAAGUAUUGUGACUGAGCGGCGGACGGGUGAGUAACGCGUGAGGAACCUGCCUUUCAGAGGGGGACAACAGUUGGAAACGACUGCUAAUACCGCAUGAUGCAUGAUCAGGGCAUCCUGGACAUGCCAAAGAUUUAUCGCUGAAAGAUGGCCUCGCGUCUGAUUAGCUGGUUGGUGAGGUAACGGCCCACCAAGGCAAUGAUGCGUAGCCGGCCUGAGAGGGCGAACGGCCACAUUGGGACUGAGACACGGCCCAA
RNAcentral lists this ribosomal RNA (324 nucleotides) under uncultured bacterium. RNAcentral describes it as "bacterial SSU rRNA". It matches the Rfam family "Bacterial small subunit ribosomal RNA", at positions 28 to 334 of the family's 1533-position model. The record is from RNAcentral.